UAGGACUCUCGGCAAUGGAUAUCUCGGCUCCCGCAUCGAUGAAGAGCGCAGCGAAAUGCGAUAUGUGGUGUGAAUUGCAGAAUCCCGUGAACCAUCGAGUUUUUGAACGCAAGUUGCGCCUGAGGCCAACUGGCCAAGGGCACGUCCGCCUGGGCGUCAAGC
This 162-nucleotide ribosomal RNA is filed under the name Disa schizodioides. RNAcentral's name for it is "5.8S ribosomal RNA". It matches the Rfam family "5.8S ribosomal RNA". Rfam says of the family: 5.8S ribosomal RNA (5.8S rRNA) is a component of the large subunit of the eukaryotic ribosome. It is transcribed by RNA polymerase I as part of the 45S precursor that also contains 18S and 28S rRNA. The record is from RNAcentral. Lineage: Eukaryota; Viridiplantae; Streptophyta; Magnoliopsida; Asparagales; Orchidaceae.